UUGAACGCUGGCGGCAUGCCUUACACAUGCAAGUCGAACGGCAGCACGGGAGCAAUCCUGGUGGCGAGUGGCGAACGGGUGAGUAAUAUAUCGGAACGUGCCCAGUCGUGGGGGAUAACGUAGCGAAAGCUACGCUAAUACCGCAUACGAUCUACGGAUGAAAGCGGGGGAUCGCAAGACCUCGCGCGAUUGGAGCGGCCGAUAUCGGAUUAGCUAGUUGGUGAGGUAAAGGCUCACCAAGGCGACGAUCCGUAGCGGGUCUGAGAGGACGACUCGCCACACUGGAACUGAGACACGGUCCAGACUCCUACGGGAGGCAGCAGUGGGGAAUUUUGGACAAUGGGGGAAACCCUGAUCCAGCCAUUCCGCGUGAGUGAAGAAGGCCUUCGGGUUGUAAAGCUCUUUCAGCAGGAACGAAACGGUCGGCUUUAAUAAAGUCGGCUAAUGACGGUACCUGCAGAAGAAGCACCGGCUAACUACGU
Molecule: ribosomal RNA, 482 nt
Filed under: uncultured bacterium
Lineage: Bacteria
Description: bacterial SSU rRNA
Rfam family: Bacterial small subunit ribosomal RNA
Source: RNAcentral